This is a long non-coding RNA of Acanthochromis polyacanthus (spiny chromis), 1165 nucleotides long. RefSeq lists it as uncharacterized. The transcript is spliced from 3 exons. NCBI's taxonomy places the organism in Eukaryota, Metazoa, Chordata, Actinopteri, Pomacentridae. The record is from RefSeq and is a predicted model, not a curated record.
AAUCUCACAAUCAAUCCAAGAUGGCCAACUUCCUGUUGGAUUUAGGGCAUGGCUCCAAGAGGCUUUUUUGUGCGUCCUGAUGUGCUCUAUAAGCCUCCCAAAUUUCAUGGAUGUAGGUGAAACGUGCUGGGGGGGCUGUUUGUUAAAAAUACUGUAGGGGGCGCUGUAGCAUGUGCAGUGCCGAGAUGCAUACAGUGUUGUUCCUUGGGUGAAUGGUGAUGUGUGUGGUAAUUUUAGUGAGCAUUGGAGUAUUCCUAAUCUGUCAGAAAGGGCUUUGUUUUUCAUGGCGAUAUUUGGUUGCUACGGCAACAGCGUUGCAUGAAAUGUCACACCCUUCACAGUGUGUGAUUGUCAAGACGUGAAGACUCGACUGACCAAUUUCCAGGAUGAUAUCACCAAGUUUGGGGCCAUUGUACCUGAAAAUAUAACGCCUUAAACUUACUAUUACCAACAGGUGGCGCAAUGACUUUUUCAAAAUUUAUGAGUGUGGAUGUGUUCAGACUGGACCUGGUAUCCAGCAUGUGAAGUCUGAGGCAGAUAGGAUCUUGUUCAGCUGAGAUAUGAAUCGUUAAAUUUUCAUGACGAAACAUCGAAAUUGGUUUGGCCGCCACAGACACGCCCUUUGAUGACAAGUCACCAUUUUCACUGGGAUGCAUCAUCAAUGUGUUCAGCCUGUUGUCACCGCAUUUGAAGUGAAUAUGAUCAACCGGGUAACAAUAGGGCAUGAAAGUGUAAAAGAUGUCUAUUUCCUGAAACCACAAGGUGGCGCUAUGACUGUCAAUGAAUAUCCCUAUGUAGAUGACAUCAGGACAGGACUGUCAUCAUACAUGUAAAGUUUCAGGCAGAUUGGAGCAUGUUGAGAAGAAUUAGACACCACUUCCUGUUUCAUGGCGAAGGAUCAGUUGUUUGAGGCUCCGCCAUGGCCACACCUUUUGGCUUCUGGUUGAGUUUUUGAUAACUUUUCAUCAGAAAGGUCUGGUGCAUGUACUGGCCAAAUUUCAGUUCUCUCAGACUUACCCCCUAGGAGCUAUUAAUUUUGACAAAUGUAAAGCAAAUUCAAGAUGGCCGACUUCCUGUUGGGUUUAGGGCGUGGCUGUGAUUGACUUUUUGGUGUGUCCUGAUGUGGUGCAUAUGCCCACCAAAUAUUGUAGCUGUAAAUGAAACU